CGAACGGGUGCGUAACACGUAUGCAACCUACCCUUCACAGGAGGACAGCCCCGAGAAAUCGGGAUUAAUACUCCAUAACAUCACGGAUUCGCAUGUUUCCGUGAUCAAAGUUCCGGCGGUGAAGGAUGGGCAUGCGGCCUAUUAGUUAGUAGGUGAGGUAACGGCUCACCUAGACUCCGAUAGGUAGGGGUCCUGAGAGGGAGAUCCCCCACACUGGUACUGAGACACGGACCAGACUCCUACGGGAGGCAGCAGUGAGGAAUAUUGGACAAUGGACGAAAGUCUGAUCCAGCUAUGCCGCGUGCAGGAUGACGGCCCUAUGGGUUGUAAACUGCUUUUAUACAGGAAGAAAAACUCCGACGUGUCGGAACUUGACGGUACUGUAAGAAUAAGGAUCGGCUAACUCCGUGCCAGCAGCCGCGGUAAUACGGAGGAUCCAAGCGUUAUCCGGAAUCAUUGGGUUUAAAGGGUCCGUAGGCGGUUUUUUAAGUCAGAGGUGAAAUCCUGCAGCUCAACUGUAGAAUUGCCUUUGAUACUGAAAGACUUGAGUUAUUGUGAAGUGGUUAGAAUGUGUGGUGUAGCGGUGAAAUGCAUAGAUAUCACACAGAAUACCAAUUGCGAAGGCAGAUCACUAACAAUAUACUGACGCUCAGGGACGAAAGCGUGGGUAGCGAACAGGAUUAGAUACCCUGGUAGUCCACGCCGUAAACGAUGGAUAC
This 719-nucleotide ribosomal RNA is filed under the name uncultured bacterium. Its description in RNAcentral is "bacterial SSU rRNA". It matches the Rfam family "Bacterial small subunit ribosomal RNA", at positions 99 to 816 of the family's 1533-position model. The record is from RNAcentral.